Long non-coding RNA from Salvia hispanica, 914 nucleotides. RefSeq lists it as uncharacterized. The record is from RefSeq and is a predicted model, not a curated record. NCBI's taxonomy places the organism in Eukaryota, Viridiplantae, Streptophyta, Magnoliopsida, Lamiales, Lamiaceae.
UCGGUUUUUCUCCAUAUCUCCACUCCCUAAAAUCUCUCCAAUAAACCAAAUCUCCACAUAAUUGUUAUAUUUCUCAGUAUCUCCACUCCCUUCUCAUGAUCUCAGUCAUUUAUCAACGCCAUUCCAAAAUUCUUGUGCAGCUUCUUCUCUUCCACAAAAGUUUGAAACCGAGAGGGUUGUGAUCUUUAAUACCUGCUGCUUGUGCAAAUCCCCUUCCUCCCAAAGAGUGAACUUGUGCACGUUGUUGCGGUUGGGAACAAGAAAGUGUUUGAAGAGUUAAGCUUGUGAGUUGCUAAAGUGUGCAGGUUGAGGUACUAAAUCAGGAGGAAAGGAUCAGAAGGAAUUGGCGUGAAAAAGCAUCAAAAAGUGUGCAACUGGCCAGUAUGAGCAAAAAAAGUGCAAACUGGCAAUUAUGAGCAGAAUAGGUGCAAACUGGCCAGGAUGGAUGCUACAGAAUUGGACACUAGAAGGAAGGACUUGCUUGGAACAAUCAACUACUAAAGAGGGGCAAAAUUGUCAUUUUGCAUGAAGAGGCAGCCCUAGAAAUUAGGGCACCCUAUAAAUAGGAGUUGAACAUAAGGAGGAAUCAUUUUUUUAUCAUCACUUUAUCAUCACUUUGAGAACACUUUUUGGGAGAAUAGUUCCAUUAGUUCUAAGUUCCACUCUCUAAAUCCAGCAGCCUGCCAUGAAGAUUCCGGCCACCAGCCGGCGGGGAGUCAUCAUGCCUGAAUCAUUCCAGCCGCCGUAGUCCAGUUCCAGUUUCAGAAGAAGCCAUCAGCCAUUUACAUGCUUUCUUUUAAUGCUUUCUUAGUUUAAAAACUUGUUUUACUUGCAUUUGUCUCGGAUUUCAGUAGUUAAUCUGUUUGAAGCAUCUUAUGGUUUGAAUGUUUGAAUGAAGUUAAGUUUGAGUUUCA